Molecule: ribosomal RNA, 231 nt
Filed under: uncultured bacterium
Lineage: Bacteria
Description: partial 16S ribosomal RNA
Rfam family: Bacterial small subunit ribosomal RNA
Source: RNAcentral
UGGGUAACCUGCCUCAAAGAGGGGAAUAGCCUCCCGAAAGGGAGAUUAAUACCGCAUAAUAUGUUUUAGUCGCAUGACUUAAACAUCAAAGGAUUUUCUUUAGAAAUUCCACUUUGAGAUGGACCCGCGGCGCAUUAGCUAGUUGGUGAGGUAACGGCUCACCAAGGCAACGAUGCGUAGCCGACCUGAGUGGGUGAUCGGCCACAUUGGAACUGAGGCACGGUCCAGACU